This 319-nucleotide long non-coding RNA is filed under the name Hordeum vulgare. Its description in RNAcentral is "long non-coding RNA (HVUL_LNC017792)". Lineage: Eukaryota; Viridiplantae; Streptophyta; Magnoliopsida; Poales; Poaceae. The record is from RNAcentral.
GCUCUUCUCCCCACUGUUCGUUGCUCGCAGUCUCAUCCAGUCCCCCGCAAAAAUCUCCGUCACUCUGCACCGCAGCUACCUCCCGGAGUUCCCCUCGCCGCGCAAUGGCCGCCGCGCCGGUGGCGUCCCCCUUCCCCACGCUCCCCUCGCCCUCCUCCCCCCUCGGCACGUCCGCGCGCCGUAUUCACGGCCGCGCGGGCCCGCCGCCAGCAGCAGCCGCCUCGCCGCGCGAGCAGCAGCAGCAGAGCGCCAGGGGCGCGGCGGGCGCGGGGGGGAGGCCGCGGCGGCGGGAGGAUGACCAGGCCGAGGCCGCCNNNNN